CCUACGGGAGGCAGCAGUGAGGAAUAUUGGUCAAUGGUCGGGAGACUGAACCAGCCAAGCCGCGUGAGGGAUGAAGGUACAGAGUAUCGUAAACCUCUUUUGUCAGGGAACAAAGGCGGGGACGCGUCCCCGGAUGAGUGUACCUGAAGAAAAAGCAUCGGCUAACUCCGUGCCAGCAGCCGAGGUAAUACGGAGGAUGCGAGCGUUAUCCGGUUUGAUUUGGUUUAAAGGGUGCGUAGGCGGUCUGUGAAGUCAGCGGUCAAAAUCCGGGGCUCAACCCCCGGACGGCUGUUGACAUUGGUAGUCGAGAGAUGGAGAGAGGUAGGCGGAAUGCGCGGUGUAGCGGUGAAAUGCAUAGAUAUCGCGAAGAACUCCGAUUGCGAAGGCAGCAUGCCGGCUCCACACUGACGCUGAGGCACGAAAGCGUGGGUAGCGAACAGGAUUAGAUACCCGUGUAGUC
Molecule: ribosomal RNA, 460 nt
Filed under: uncultured bacterium
Lineage: Bacteria
Description: partial 16S ribosomal RNA
Rfam family: Bacterial small subunit ribosomal RNA
Source: RNAcentral